AUAUUUAAAUCUACAAGGUAUAUACCCUUCUUUACAUUAAAUCUAUAAGGUACAGAAUGUAUACGCCUUUCUUUACAUUAAAUCCAUAAGGUAUAUACCUUUCUUUACAUUAAAUCGCAUUGCAACUGUUGCAUAACAUUUAGUUUAUACCAUGCUCACAUGGAAUAAACUCUAAAUGCGUUUUGACUGAGACUAUUUUUUUAUCGCUUGGUUCAAUAUGUUUCGAUUGGCUUACACUUGAAGGCCGCUUCAUGAGUUCCUGGAAAUGAUAGCACACAAGAAAAGUAGUUCUCAGUUGUUAACUUGUUUUUGUCAUAUUUUAAAGUAUAUAUGUAUAUAAAGAUUUCUAUCGAUUUAUUGCUGUGAAAAGAAUAAACUUGCGUAUUAAUUGUUUUGAAAUGUAAUCAAUUGUAACAAUUCCAUACAUUUCCAAAAUUGUCAGUUUUGCAUAUUAAUUGGUGGCAAUUCACUUCAGGUCAUAUCCAUAUACAUGUACUUCAUAUGAUCUUGUGAAAAGAAAACAUGCUGACACAAAACAUGUCAAUUCAUCCUCAGAAUAGCUUUUCUAUUGUGCUAAACAGGUCACACAAACUUGUGGUUGUUGUAUAUGGUAGAUAUUUUACUCCUGUUAGAUAUUUUUCCAAAGUUACAAAAAACACUCACUAAAGGUUGUGUUUUUCGUGACUUUUGAAAAAUAUUUAACUCAAGCGAAAGAAAUACUAUAACCAACAACAAUGAGUUGUUAAACAUCUAUUUACAUUAGAUUUAUUAGGACUGCUUAUUUGUUAGAUUUAUAGCAUGUGUACUUAACACUGUAGAAAAAUCUGUUAUUUUGUUUCCCUAUCAACUUACAAAUUACACAAAUUGUUAUUUGUUUUAUUGACACUAUGGUGAUUUUACUGGAGUAUAAUGUUUUAAAUAUUUUGUAUUAAAGGGAAAUUGUUUUCUGUUUAA
Pecten maximus is the source of this 954-nucleotide long non-coding RNA. RefSeq lists it as uncharacterized. The record is from RefSeq and is a predicted model, not a curated record. The transcript has 2 exons. NCBI's taxonomy places the organism in Eukaryota, Metazoa, Mollusca, Bivalvia, Pectinida, Pectinidae.